AAUACGUUCCCGGGCCUUGUACACACCGCCCGUCACACCACGAAAGUCGGCAACACCCGAAGCCGGUGGCCCUAACCCGUUAAGGGGAGGGAGCCGUCGAAAGGUGGGGGUUCGGUGAUUGGGGUG
RNAcentral lists this ribosomal RNA (126 nucleotides) under uncultured bacterium. RNAcentral's name for it is "partial 16S ribosomal RNA". It matches the Rfam family "Bacterial small subunit ribosomal RNA", at positions 1365 to 1482 of the family's 1533-position model. The record is from RNAcentral.